RNAcentral lists this ribosomal RNA (1491 nucleotides) under Lacticaseibacillus paracasei. RNAcentral's name for it is "bacterial SSU rRNA". It matches the Rfam family "Bacterial small subunit ribosomal RNA". Lineage: Bacteria; Bacillati; Bacillota; Bacilli; Lactobacillales; Lactobacillaceae. The record is from RNAcentral.
GAUGAACGCUGGCGGCGUGCCUAAUACAUGCAAGUCGAACGAGUUCUCGUUGAUGAUCGGUGCUUGCACCGAGAUUCAACAUGGAACGAGUGGCGGACGGGUGAGUAACACGUGGGUAACCUGCCCUUAAGUGGGGGAUAACAUUUGGAAACAGAUGCUAAUACCGCAUAGAUCCAAGAACCGCAUGGUUCUUGGCUGAAAGAUGGCGUAAGCUAUCGCUUUUGGAUGGACCCGCGGCGUAUUAGCUAGUUGGUGAGGUAAUGGCUCACCAAGGCGAUGAUACGUAGCCGAACUGAGAGGUUGAUCGGCCACAUUGGGACUGAGACACGGCCCAAACUCCUACGGGAGGCAGCAGUAGGGAAUCUUCCACAAUGGACGCAAGUCUGAUGGAGCAACGCCGCGUGAGUGAAGAAGGCUUUCGGGUCGUAAAACUCUGUUGUUGGAGAAGAAUGGUCGGCAGAGUAACUGUUGUCGGCGUGACGGUAUCCAACCAGAAAGCCACGGCUAACUACGUGCCAGCAGCCGCGGUAAUACGUAGGUGGCAAGCGUUAUCCGGAUUUAUUGGGCGUAAAGCGAGCGCAGGCGGUUUUUAAGUCUGAUGUGAAAGCCCUCGGCUUAACCGAGGAAGCGCAUCGGAAACUGGGAAACUUGAGUGCAGAAGAGGACAGUGGAACUCCAUGUGUAGCGGUGAAAUGCGUAGAUAUAUGGAAGAACACCAGUGGCGAAGGCGGCUGUCUGGUCUGUAACUGACGCUGAGGCUCGAAAGCAUGGGUAGCGAACAGGAUUAGAUACCCUGGUAGUCCAUGCCGUAAACGAUGAAUGCUAGGUGUUGGAGGGUUUCCGCCCUUCAGUGCCGCAGCUAACGCAUUAAGCAUUCCGCCUGGGGAGUACGACCGCAAGGUUGAAACUCAAAGGAAUUGACGGGGGCCCGCACAAGCGGUGGAGCAUGUGGUUUAAUUCGAAGCAACGCGAAGAACCUUACCAGGUCUUGACAUCUUUUGAUCACCUGAGAGAUCAGGUUUCCCCUUCGGGGGCAAAAUGACAGGUGGUGCAUGGUUGUCGUCAGCUCGUGUCGUGAGAUGUUGGGUUAAGUCCCGCAACGAGCGCAACCCUUAUGACUAGUUGCCAGCAUUUAGUUGGGCACUCUAGUAAGACUGCCGGUGACAAACCGGAGGAAGGUGGGGAUGACGUCAAAUCAUCAUGCCCCUUAUGACCUGGGCUACACACGUGCUACAAUGGAUGGUACAACGAGUUGCGAGACCGCGAGGUCAAGCUAAUCUCUUAAAGCCAUUCUCAGUUCGGACUGUAGGCUGCAACUCGCCUACACGAAGUCGGAAUCGCUAGUAAUCGCGGAUCAGCACGCCGCGGUGAAUACGUUCCCGGGCCUUGUACACACCGCCCGUCACACCAUGAGAGUUUGUAACACCCGAAGCCGGUGGCGUAACCCUUUUAGGGAGCGAGCCGUCUAAGGUGGGACAAAUGAUUAGGGUG